CACUGAAGAAGGCACAGCCAAGCACCAAGAGCAUAUUCGAUAAAAUGGAACCCAACAAGGACUGUUUAACAACCCGCAUCAUUCCAUUGUUCAGUGCAUAUAAUGAGAUUAUCAUUUCAGUUGCAUUGCCAAAUGUAGCAUUCAGAAGGCCCCCAACUAUAAAUCAGGAAAACAUUUUGUGAUAAGAAAAUGAGAAACACAUGGUUGGGGGAAACAUGGGCUCCCACAAAAUCGAUACACUCAGGAAAAAAAUUAGUAUGCUGAUAAGAAAAUGAGAAACAGGUGGUUGGGGGAAUCAUGGGCUCACACAGAACAUAUACACCCACGUGCAACUGACUCGUUUCAUAAAUACAGAUGUACAGUAUCAAAACAUGAUGCACUAUUCCAGCAAAGGACAAUGAGACGAACUUCAAGCACAUAAAAGCACAAAAC
RNAcentral lists this long non-coding RNA (432 nucleotides) under Nicotiana benthamiana. RNAcentral's name for it is "long non-coding RNA (NBEN_LNC018061)". The record is from RNAcentral. Lineage: Eukaryota; Viridiplantae; Streptophyta; Magnoliopsida; Solanales; Solanaceae.